This is a non-coding RNA of Lonchura striata (white-rumped munia), 326 nucleotides long. NCBI's taxonomy places the organism in Eukaryota, Metazoa, Chordata, Aves, Passeriformes, Estrildidae. The record is from RefSeq and is a predicted model, not a curated record.
CGGGAAAGGAGCCGCGGUUAAUGGAUAAUCAGCGCCGCGACCCCUAAAAAAAUCUCCUGGUGUGACCCAGCUCCUGAUCCCAGGGUGAAGGUGAAGCACCUGCCAGCCCAGGAUGUGACACACGAGGUGUCCCCACGUCCUCCGGUGAAGAACAAGGGCAGCAUCCUGCCCUGUGUGCUCCUGUCCUUCCCUAAAUUCUCGAAUCAUUCGUUCCCUAAAUCCCGAGCGCUCCGUGCUGCUUGCCCCUGUGGGUGUCACACUCCUUUUCCACCCCAUCUCUCGUUUAUUUAAUAUGUGGAAAUAAAUGAGUCUUGCUGAGUGUUGCA